GUCAACCACCAUUUCACCUCCUGCACUGUUUUUCGGGCCUGGACCUUCACUACUAAAUGAGGCAGACACACUGUCGUGACUGGAUAAUUUGUUUGAGCAGUUGUCAGAGAGCAGUUUUCCAGCGCGAGAAAAAAGGUGCCACUGCGCAUACAUGUCUACGAUGAUGUAGAACUUAUGGUGCUUGCUACUUGCUCUGCUCCUACAUUUCUCGGCCCAUUUCUGGUUGGAGUCACGUGUGAGGUAACUGAUCUUCAGUUGUUACCAUUACCGUUGAACGUCGACCGUGUGCAGUAGCAACAGCAAUGACUUUUAUGGGGACGAGGUGAUGCAAAACUACAAGGUAAUGGAAGAGUUGUUUGUUUUCCAUUCACCUCGCACCCAAGAACCCUUUUGUUAAUGCCCCACACCUGAAACAUUGUAGGACAGGGAAGGUACCUAGAAAGUUGUUGAAUUCUAUAGAAUUCAUAAUGAACGGUUCGUUAAGAGCCGAGACCUGAAGCGGAAGCAGCAAUUCUGGGACGCGAUGUCCAUUUCUACCAAGAAAGCUUUGGGAAAUAUGUUUUCGCCAGCGCAGUGUGAGAACAAAUGGCUAUGUUUGCUACAUAGUUAUAUAAGGGUGUAGUGGACAACAACAAGAAAUCAGGUAGAGUUCAAAAACAUGAAAGAAAUGGGCGAAAUCUUUCAGAAGAGCAACAUUUACUCUGAAGGCUGGGUUCAUGGUGCUAAUUUCUUUAGAUGUGGUGGAGGCAGCGACCAGCGAACAACCAAGCAACCAGACUGUUCCAGGGAAAGUUGAAUUCUUUGAUUGAAAUACACCUACAUGCUUGCUGAGGGUGCAUUUUAUGACAUUCAUACAAAGCUACUAAAGUAUGUUGAAGUGCAUUGUAUGGAGUAUUUUCAAAGCAAAUGAUUUCUGAUAGUUUCAUUUGUACUGUCCUGGCUGUUAAUUAUUAAAUGCUAAAAGUCCAUGUGUGUGAGAGCAUUGUAGUUUCAUAGCUUUUUGUUGUAUAUGUCCUUCCUAUUUUCUGUAUCCUUUAAAUUAUGGUUUAAGUGCGUAGGUUAUUUUUAAAUUCAUCCUCUAAGGUAACUGGAUGUAUCACAAUUUUGUUUUACCACUAUCUGUAAAU
Molecule: long non-coding RNA, 1127 nt
Organism: Schistocerca gregaria
Lineage: Eukaryota; Metazoa; Arthropoda; Insecta; Orthoptera; Acrididae
Exons: 3
Source: RefSeq, a predicted model, not a curated record